ACGGGUGUAGCUCAAUUGGUAGAGUAGCGGUCUCCAAAACCGUUGGUUGUGGGUUCGAUUCCUACCACCCGUG
This 73-nucleotide transfer RNA is filed under the name bacterium. RNAcentral's name for it is "tRNA-Trp". It matches the Rfam family "tRNA". Rfam says of the family: Transfer RNA (tRNA) molecules are approximately 80 nucleotides in length. The record is from RNAcentral. RNAcentral also lists the same sequence under 3 other names.